AUGUUGCCUAAAAACGAGGGCGCAGAGGGCGUGGACGAUUAUAGACCUAUUAGCCUCAUUCAUGCAUUUGCAAAGAUUAUAGCCAAAAUUCUAGCCAUGCGGCUAGGUCCUCACAUGAGCACCCUCAUUUUCAAAGCCCAAAGUGAUUUCAUCAAGAGGAGGAGGAUCUAUGAUAAAUUCAUGUAUGUGCGCAAUCUCGAGCAUAGGCUUCACAAGAGAAAAAACCUUCCUAUUGUUCAAGAUUGA
RNAcentral lists this ribosomal RNA (246 nucleotides) under Triticum aestivum (bread wheat). RNAcentral's name for it is "partial small subunit ribosomal RNA". The record is from RNAcentral. Lineage: Eukaryota; Viridiplantae; Streptophyta; Magnoliopsida; Poales; Poaceae.